CCUCCUUCUGAAGUCCAAAUUCUACCUUCCCUCUCCUGUUUCCAUGGAACCUUUGCCCUCCGCAAUCACUCUCCGACCCUUCGAGCUCUCCAACGCUGGUGACUUCCUCUCGUGGGCCGGCGACGACAGAGUCACCCGCUACCUCCGCUAGGCCUCCGUCGCCUCCGUGGAGGCUGCCGAGUCGUAUCUCCGGGCCGUCGCCAUUCCCCACCUGUGGCGUCCCUCCAUCUACAUCAGCGACCGCUCCAUGAGGUACGUCUCCGUCAAGCUUGGGUCCGGCGAAGAGUGGUGCCGCGCCCGCGUCGGCUCCGUCGUCGGGGCCGAGUUCUGGGGGCGGGGGUUUGCGACAGCCGCACUGAGGAUGGCCGCCCGCCGCGUGUUCGACAAAAUGCCUAAGUUCUUCCUGUCUGCACAUUCUCUCUGCGAGCGUCCAUUUCCAGAUGGGAACCCAACACACUCCUCCUUCCUUCUUCCUCCUUCUUCCUUCAUCCUCUUCUUCUUCAUGUUCAGAGAGCCUCUCUGCUUUCCCACAAAAUGAGAGGCGUUCACCACCACAAUCACCACAACAACAUCAACAAUCACAACAACAACAGCAUCGACACUGUAAACACCGCCGCAACUACGAUCGUCGCCGCUGAGGCUCACGCCCAGCCGGUCGCCGUUCAGGUACGUCUCUGCCGAGCUGUACCCCGCGCGCUUGUUUGCGGACGCGUAUGUCCCGCGGGCGUGGGUUGAUUUGGGUCUUGCGUAUUUUUCUCUUUGAUUUUUGAGCUCGAGGUUGGUGUGGGAGGAGGAGUCGAGACAUGAUUUGUGCAUUUCUACGUAUUCACGGCCUUGCGUUUGUCUAUUUAAAUUUGCGUUUUCUCCUUGAUUCUGAGCUUUCGGUUGGCGUCGAGCGCCUUAUCACGUGAAUCGAGUCAUUAGGUGUGCCUUGAUUGUCUUGUUUUGUGAGAUUUUUUUGGACGAGCUGUGGUUAGAGAUUUCACGUCUGUUUAGAUUGGAGCUACGAAGUCGUGAAUCGGGAAAGUAAAUGGAGGCAGUGUUGUGAUUCAUCAACACCAAAGGCAGAGGCAUUCUUCUUCCUUAGGUCCUGUUUUGUCGCCGAGAAGAUUGAUCUAGAUUUGUAAAGAGACAAAAGGGUCAUAUGGUCAGGCCGAUCUUCUAUAGGUUGGAUCCUUCUGAUUGCGAAAGCAAACUGGCAAAACAGGGGAUUAUUUAGCCAAACAUGAGGACAGGUUUGGGAAAGAUACUGAGAGGGUCAUGAAAUGCAGGAAAUCUGUUGAGGAUUUGGCUAAUUUGGUCGGGUGGCACUUCUCAAAAGGUGAGACCUUUUCCUUUUCUUUUUUCUAAGCUGAUGCAAUGGAACUUGCAGGGUUGAAUCAAAGCUCAUUCGGACAAUCGUUGAAGAAGUCUCAAGAAAAUUAAAUGGCUCCUCUUUGAAUGUUGCAACUCACCCGGUUGGCAUAGAUGACACCCUUAGAUGGAAUUAAUCCAAUUCUUGGAAUUGGUCUAGACGAUGUUCGUAUGAUUGACUUCUAUGGAAUUGGAGGCAUAGGCAAAUCCACUGUUGCCGAGGCCAUUUAAAAUUAAUGUUGGAUCGGAUUUCCUUUUCCAAGUAAUUUUCGAGAACUA
Long non-coding RNA from Syzygium oleosum, 1632 nucleotides. RefSeq lists it as uncharacterized. The record is from RefSeq and is a predicted model, not a curated record. Lineage: Eukaryota; Viridiplantae; Streptophyta; Magnoliopsida; Myrtales; Myrtaceae. The transcript is spliced from 2 exons.